Molecule: ribosomal RNA, 253 nt
Filed under: uncultured bacterium
Lineage: Bacteria
Description: partial 16S ribosomal RNA
Rfam family: Bacterial small subunit ribosomal RNA
Source: RNAcentral
UACAGAGGGGGCAAGCGUUGUCCGGAAUUACUGGGCGUACAGGGCACGCAGGUGGCUGCAUAGGUGGCGUGUGAAAGCCCCGCGCUUAACGCGGGGAGGCCACGCCAAACGGUGCGGCUCGAGCGAUGCAGAGGGUGGUGGAAUUGCCGGUGUAGUGGUGAAAUGCGUAGAGAUCGGCAGGAACACCAAGGACGAAGGUAACCACCUGGGCAUCAGCUGACACUCAUGUGCGACAGCGUGGGGAGCGAACCGG